GGCGGGUCCGCUGCACCGCAGCGAGCUGCACCAACCUUGCCGCGGACACGCGCGUGAACACACCAGACGGCCGCAGCAGAGCGCGGCGGCGAGGGCGUCCCGGGCCGGUGAGCAGCAGCAGAGGGGGAGGCGGCGGCUGCCCCGCCCACCGGGCCGCGCGCCCCGCCCACGCGCGCGGGGAGGAGCCCGAGCCGAGUUGGGAGGAGAGGUGGGGCGGUCCCGGAGCGCAGAGAGACCGACUCCCUGGCUGCGGCGGCGGUGGCGCCGGGGAGCCGUGGUUCCUGUAAAACUUUGAGCAACUGGAAAUCAGCUGGAGGGAUCUGCCGAGGCCUGUGGUCUCGUGGUCCUGCGCGGGCGUGGCUGUGCACAAACAAGAGGGUUACACAGUUGGAAGACCGGUACAAAUAUAAUGCAUUAUUAACAAGUGCAGCUAGCUAUGUAUUUUUGUUAAGGCUUUAAAGGAAAUACAGAUAAAUAGAUGCCUCCAUUUUUCUUCCAGUAGGCAUGCACAUAUAACAAAUCAUUUGUAAU
RNAcentral lists this long non-coding RNA (531 nucleotides) under Cricetulus griseus (Chinese hamster). RNAcentral's name for it is "lncRNA (ENSCGRG00015037598.1)". The record is from RNAcentral. Lineage: Eukaryota; Metazoa; Chordata; Mammalia; Rodentia; Cricetidae.